GGGGGUAUAGCUCAGUGGCAGAGCAAUCGACUGCAGAUCGAUAGGUCCCGGAUUCGACUUCCGGUGCCCCCU
Transfer RNA from Allomyces macrogynus ATCC 38327, 72 nucleotides. It matches the Rfam family "tRNA". From Rfam's summary of the family: Transfer RNA (tRNA) molecules are approximately 80 nucleotides in length. Their secondary structure includes four short double-helical elements and three loops (D, anti-codon, and T loops). The record is from Rfam. Lineage: Eukaryota; Fungi; Blastocladiomycota; Blastocladiomycetes; Blastocladiales; Blastocladiaceae.